Molecule: unclassified non-coding RNA, 377 nt
Filed under: uncultured Gammaproteobacteria bacterium
Lineage: Bacteria; Pseudomonadati; Pseudomonadota; Gammaproteobacteria
Description: contains 16S-23S intergenic spacer region
Source: RNAcentral
UCCGGCUUAUCACCGGCAGUCUGUUCAGGGUUCCAAACUCAACGAUGGCAACUAAACACGAGGGUUGCGCUCGUUGCGGGACUUAACCCAACAUCUCACGACACGAGCUGACGACAGCCAUGCAGCACCUGUGUUAUGGCUCCCUUUCGGGCACUCCCACCUCUCAGCAGGAUUCCAUACAUGUCAAGGGUAGGUAAGGUUUUUCGCGUUGCAUCGAAUUAAUCCACAUCAUCCACCGCUUGUGCGGGUCCCCGUCAAUUCCUUUGAGUUUUAAUCUUGCGACCGUACUCCCCAGGCGGUCAACUUCACGCGUUAGCUACGUUACCAAGUCAAUGAAGACCCGACAACUAGUUGACAUCGUUUAGGGCGUGGACUAC